This 253-nucleotide ribosomal RNA is filed under the name uncultured prokaryote. Its description in RNAcentral is "partial 16S ribosomal RNA". It matches the Rfam family "Bacterial small subunit ribosomal RNA", at positions 525 to 777 of the family's 1533-position model. The record is from RNAcentral.
ACGUAGGGUGCGAGCGUUGUCCGGAAUUAUUGGGCGUAAAGAGCUCGUAGGCGGUCUGUCGCGUCGAAUGUGAAAACCCGGGGCUCAACUCCGGGCUUGCAUUCGAUACGGGCAGGCUAGAGUUCGGUAGGGGAGUCUGGAAUUCCUGGUGUAGCGGUGAAAUGCGCAGAUAUCAGGAGGAACACCGGUGGCGAAGGCGGGACUCUGGACUGCAACUGACACUGAGGAACGAAAGCCAGGGGAGCAAACAGGA